AAGACCUUGCACUUUUGGAGCGGCCGAUGUCUGAUUAGCUAGUUGGUGGGGUAAUGGCCUACCAAAGCUUCGAUCAGUAGCUGGUCUGAGAGGACGGCCAGCCACACUGGGACUGAGACACGGCCCAGWCUCCUACGGGAGGCAGCAGUGGGGAAUUUUGGACAAUGGGCGCAAGCCUGAUCCAGCCAUGCCGCGUGAGUGAAGAAGGCCUUCGGGUUGUAAAGCUCUUUCAGCCGGGAAGAAAAGGUUGCGACUAAUAAUCGCAAUCCAUGACGGUACCGAAAGAAGAAGCACCGGCUAACUACGUGCCAGCAGCCGCGGUAAUACGUAGGGUGCGAGCGUUAAUCGGAAUUACUGGGCGUAAAGGGUGCGCAGGCGGUUUUGUAAGUCAGAUGUGAAAUCCCCGGGCUUAACCUGGGAACU
RNAcentral lists this ribosomal RNA (423 nucleotides) under uncultured bacterium. RNAcentral describes it as "bacterial SSU rRNA". It matches the Rfam family "Bacterial small subunit ribosomal RNA", at positions 207 to 622 of the family's 1533-position model. The record is from RNAcentral.